UACAGAGGUCCCAAGCGUUGUUCGGAUUCAUUGGGCGUAAAGGGUGCGUAGGCGGUGGGGUAAGUUGGAUGUGAAAUCUUGGGGCUUAACCUCAAAAUUGCAUUCAAUACUGCUCCGCUCGAGUUCUGUAGAGGAGAUUGGAAUUUACGGUGUAGCAGUGAAAUGCGUAGAUAUCGUAAGGAACGCCAGUGGCGAAAGCGAAUCUCUGGGCAGCAACUGACGCUGAGGCACGAAGGCCAGGGGAGCAAACAGG
This 253-nucleotide ribosomal RNA is filed under the name uncultured bacterium. RNAcentral's name for it is "partial 16S ribosomal RNA". It matches the Rfam family "Bacterial small subunit ribosomal RNA", at positions 524 to 776 of the family's 1533-position model. The record is from RNAcentral.